Long non-coding RNA from Clupea harengus (Atlantic herring), 2113 nucleotides. The record is from Ensembl. Lineage: Eukaryota; Metazoa; Chordata; Actinopteri; Clupeiformes; Clupeidae.
CUUUCGAGGGCAACUUCUAGGUCAAUUCGUGAACAAUAGCAUAAUAGCGCUCAUUGGUUAACGUUAGUGACAUAUCGGACCUAAAUCAGAAUUGCCAACAUACCACUUCCACAGUAAACAUACACAUAGGGCGGUGGUGGACGUUAGACUCAGUCAUGUGAUGUAGCAUGUAGCAAAGCAUCUGCUGCAGUCAGUCAACACAGUUAAAAACAUUUGUAUUCAGGAAGGCAUGUCUGGCCUUGUGUUAAAUCUUAUGUUAAAAUGUUAAAACGUUUUCUAUUGUGCUUAUGUUAACUCAUUUUUAUUUUAUUGUAUUAUUAUAGUUCGUUUCUAAUAUGUUGGCACUCUGAGAUUCUUCUGAAUGAAGAGUGCAGUACAAAUAAAAUGAAUUAUUAUUAUUAUUAUUACAGUUCGGCACCAUCGGCUGUUUAAAUGUUUCAAUGGUGUAUUCAGAUGUUGAUAGAGAUCGAACCCACUCUCUGAUUUCAGCCAGCAUCUACGUGGUGCGGAAGAUCCGAGCCUCUAUCCAGGAGGGGGCGCAGGCCGAGGAACCGAUCUUCACACCAUGUAGUCUGGCCAAAGGUGCGCAGAGGGAGCUCUCAGGUGCGUCGGGGAAGACAGCCAUGUUGACCUCUGACCCUGAUGAUGACGGAGCGGGCGGGGUUCAGGCUCAAUCCACCGACACAGCAGUGCAGAAGUGCGGCUCCUCCUGAGGUUAAAGGUCACGCCAGCAGGUUGCUGAGGGCAACAGGAUGUCAACAAGAUGAUGGGCACCAGAAGUCUCUUGUCAUCCCCAAGACUUGUUAGGUUACCACCACCAGGUUAAGCUGAAUGCGGACUGUAGAGUCUGGAUUAGAUGAUCCUAUUAGCUGUAGAGAGGUCAGCGGACUUAAGAAUGUAAAAUAUCAAAAGUCAAAAUGACAUCAAGUCCACCUCCAGUCUAAAGGACAUCCUUGCAGUCCUAUGGGCACUGUCAUCGGUGUCAUCACUGUCAUCGGUGUCAUCGGUGUCAUCAGCGUCAUCACUGUCAUCGGUGUCAUCAGCCAUGGUGUCCUGAGUGGUGGCGGUGGACAAACAGUCCCAGAUUAACUAGCAGCAUUAUGUCACCCUUAUGACAUCAUCAUCAUCCCAGUCCUCCCAGAGCAGCUCUGCCAGGCGUGUCUUAAAACCAAGGAGCCUCUCUCUCUCUCUCUCUCUCUCUCUCUCUCUCUCUGUCUCUCUCUCUCUUUUUCAGCUGUUCAUGAUGGUCCGCACAUCAACCCUUCAUCGAGGGGCUGUUUGGACCUGAAGUUUUUCUUCAGCUGAAAACACACACACACACAUACGCACACCCACACACACACACACACACACACACACACACACACACACACACACACACACACACAUAUACACACACUUUCUCACACACAGAUUGUAAUAACAUAACUUCAACUCUGUAUGUGCGCAUCGUUUUUAGAACUGUAUGUCUGUUCAUGUCUGUUGAUGAGUGAGGUGUACAAUGACAAAUAAACAGUUUAUAACUACUUCAAUAAACACUUUAUAACACCACUGUUGUCUUUGGAGUAAAACGCAGAGGUCACUAUGAUAUCCCUAUGAUACUGCACAAAAAACAAAAGUAUUUGUAGUCUGUGUAUGUGUUAGAAUCUGACCAAAUCUAUAUUCUAACAUUAAUACAUGGCAAGGGAUAAGAUGGUACUAUACUAAAAAGUCAUUCUGUCACGUCCAAUAGAUUAAAGAAUGUAGUUUUUGGGCAGGUGUGUGUGUGUGUUUGUUUUACAGAUGAACACACACAUAUAAGCAACCAAAACAUGAUCACAAUUGUGUGUGUGUGUGUGUCUGUCAGCUUUUUUUCAGUUAGAACAGGUCUUACAGGUCCUACAGCACGUAGCAUCAACAAGACUCAGUGAAGUGGUGGUGGAAGAUUCCGGAUCGGUCAGGACUGAGCAGUGCUUUUGGUGCAGGUUAAUGGUUUUGGAUCGGUCAGGAGCAGUGCUUUUAGGUCAGGUUCAUGGUUUUGCCAGAGGGAGUCUCUGGUUCGUCAUAACCCUUUUUUUCCUUUUUUUGCUGUUGUGACAGAAAGGCAGAAUGUGACAAUUACCGUAAAUCCAUA